This 324-nucleotide ribosomal RNA is filed under the name Triticum aestivum (bread wheat). Its description in RNAcentral is "partial small subunit ribosomal RNA". The record is from RNAcentral. Lineage: Eukaryota; Viridiplantae; Streptophyta; Magnoliopsida; Poales; Poaceae.
AUGGCGGCAAAGAAGCAUCUCUUUCGCUUUCGGUCUUUCGUGAUAAAGGACGGGUCAGAAAAUCGUUUUUGGGAAGACAUCUGGCUAGGCAAUGCUAGCCUCCGAGAACAAUACCCAGCCUUAUACAACAUUGCACGCGAUAAGAAUAAUACUAUUGCGCAAGUGUUCAGCUCAUCCCCGCCAAAUAUUUUGUUCAGGCGGGAUUUGAUUGGAACCCGACUUAUGUCAUGGAAUAAUCUAUUGUCCCGUCUGGAUUCGAUUAUCCUGACACAAGGUCGCGAUGUGUUUCGCUGGAACCUUACUACAUCGGGGUCUUUCACAGUA